UGGGUGAUGGGAAGUGUAACACUCGCAGUGACGCACCGGUUUCAUCGAUGACCGAAUUCAUUCAUAAUGAAGUAACGACUGUGAGCGAAAGUCCCUGAACCUUGAGACUGAGAGAGCUCCACCCGUAGCUAGGGUGUACUCGGAUAUCCAACCUGGAUGGCGUUUGGGCCAAGAGACCAUAAACGGUUGAGCCUAGGAUGGCCAUCGGUUGACCUCCGGGGUUCGUUGCAAGCAAAGUAACGUUACAUUAUCAAACAGCACAGGGCUUACUCUCCUCAUGUCACCC
Molecule: non-coding RNA, 286 nt
Organism: Brugia malayi
Lineage: Eukaryota; Metazoa; Nematoda; Chromadorea; Rhabditida; Onchocercidae
Source: Rfam